RNAcentral lists this ribosomal RNA (428 nucleotides) under uncultured bacterium. Its description in RNAcentral is "bacterial SSU rRNA". It matches the Rfam family "Bacterial small subunit ribosomal RNA", at positions 917 to 1349 of the family's 1533-position model. The record is from RNAcentral.
GGGCCCGCACAAGCGGUGGAGCAUGUGGUUUAAUUCGAUGAUACGCGAGGAACCUUACCAGGGCUUAAAUGCAGAACGACAGAGGUGGAAACACCUCCUUCUUCGGACGGUCUGCAAGGUGCUGCAUGGUUGUCGUCAGCUCGUGCUGUGAAGUGUCGGGUUAAGUCCCAUAACGAGCGCAACCCCUAUUUCUAGUUGCCAGCGGUUCGGCCGGGGACUCUAGAGAAACUGCCAGCGUAAGCUGUGAGGAAGGUGGGGAUGACGUCAAAUCAUCACGGCCCUUACGUCCUGGGCUACACACGUGCUACAAUGGUAGGGACAGAGAGUUGCCAACCCGCGAGGGUGAGCUAAUCUUCAAACCCUAUCUCAGUUCGGAUCGGAGUCUGCAACUCGACUCCGUGAAGUUGGAAUCGCUAGUAAUCGCAUAU